This 387-nucleotide ribosomal RNA is filed under the name uncultured Glomeromycotina. Its description in RNAcentral is "SSU rRNA". It matches the Rfam family "Eukaryotic small subunit ribosomal RNA", at positions 706 to 1092 of the family's 1831-position model. Lineage: Eukaryota; Fungi; Glomeromycota. The record is from RNAcentral.
ACGAACCAUGAUGUCAUUAAUUUGGUGUUAUGGGAAGUUAGGACUGUUACUUUGAAAAAAUUAGAGUGUUUAAAGCAGGCUUUGGCUUGAAUACAUUAGCAUGGAAUAAUGAAAUAGGACGUUCGAACCUAUUUUGUUGGUUUCUAGGAUCAACGUAAUGAUUAAUAGGGAUAGUUGGGGCAUUAGUAUUCAAUUGUCAGAGGUGAAAUUCUUGGAUUUAUUGAAGACUAACUACUGCGAAAGCAUUUGCCAAGGAUGUUUUCAUUAAUCAAGAACGAAAGUUAGGGGAUCGAAGACGAUCAGAUACCGUCGUAGUCUUAACCAUAAACUAUGCCGACUAGGGAUCGGAUGAUGUUAAUUUUUUAAUGACUCAUUCGGCGCCUUACG